GCCUGCAUGGAUCAGUGCUUAGAUCACCUUCUAUGAAUGGGCCCAUCCUUUGAUUUCAGGAAGGAGACGGAGGUUCAAAUCCUCCUGUAGGCA
Non-coding RNA from Mycena capillaripes, 93 nucleotides. The record is from the annotation of a GenBank genome assembly. NCBI's taxonomy places the organism in Eukaryota, Fungi, Basidiomycota, Agaricomycetes, Agaricales, Mycenaceae.